AACAACAAUUUGAUAUUUUUUUCUAAAAAAAAAAAAAGAAAAGAAGAAGGCUAAAGUCGCAACCAAAUUCCCAAUUUGGGAAACCUAAAGUCUAGAGAGAGAGAGAGGAGUAUAUAAGAUGGCAACUUUGGCGAGAAGCAUUUGCGACUAGCAAGAACCCGCGACAUCUACAUCGGCACAAAUCACAAGUAAGUUCUGUUUCUUUUUCUUCCUUCGAGUCUCAUGUGGUGGUUGACUUGCUGUAUACUUUUUCUUUCUUUUUUUCGUUUAUCUUCACCAACGUGUAUCAGAUUGUGUGGUUGUUUUUUAGCCUUUUUUUACCAGUUCCUUUCUAAUUUCCAUGCAUGCAUUUUGUUUAAUGUAUAGUAUCGUGUGGUUGUUGUUUACUGUUUGUUUUUUUUAAUUCCAUCUGCAAGUAUCAGUUUGUGUGGUUUUUUGUUUUUGGCCCUUUUUUUGGCCAAUUCUUUUUCUAAUUUCUAUGCAUGUAUUUUGUUUGUGAUGCAUGUAUUAUGCUUUGGAUAGAGAUAAUAUAUUAAGUAGAAGGGAAUUGUUAAAUCCACAACACUUUUUUGUUAUUUCCACAACAAAAGUGUCGUUGUAGAUGUAUAGCGACGAUGAAAACUGUAGCUAUAGGAUCUAUAACGACACUUUUGUUGUGGAAAUAACAUUUUUUGUUGUGAAUUUAACAGUUUCCUAAGCAGAAAUGUAUAAUAAUUAAUAUUGUAUAUUUGUACAUUUAAUGACUUGCUUUAGUAGUUUUUUUUCUUUUCUUUUUUUAAUAUCAAACAAUGGUCAACUGUUCUAUCUGGGUUUUGACCAAACCAGUUCAACCGGUUGGGCCGAGUCGGGUUUCAAAACAUUGGCUAGAAGUGCCUAAAGAUCUCCUGUUAGAUACUUCAUUGAAUUUAAACAAAUGUUAUUUCUAUGUUAGUAAUUGAUCUCGUCGAUUAUGUGAAAACAAAUGUUUACGUGGGUCUAGUAACAAUUUGUGAUAUUGUGACACAACAAUCUCAUAUUUUUCCUAAAAAUUGAAGCAUUUUUAGAACUUCAUUGUUCGAAUUGAACUUUGGAAGGGUAGUCUUUUUGCACCAUUAGCAUAGUCGUUGAAUAUAUGCAAUGUAAGCAAUAUUUUUAGAUUCGGACAGAUCAUCAAACUGGAAAAGUCACUCGAUGGAUGGGUCACUAUGUCAACCGGUGGUUAAACAAUAAUUAUUAUUAAUAAUUAAAUAUAUUAAUAAUUAUUAUAAAUUGUAUAUAUGAUAUAUAUCACUUCUGUUUUAAAACAUAAGAGUACUAGAUCUCUUCCUCAAAUUGCAUUUUUAAAUUACAAGCACAAUGGUUGAGAUGGGAUAAAUCUAGCAAAGUUCUUUGGUUGUGGAAUUUGAAGUUCCGAUGGGCUUCUUGGCUUUUGAUAAUUUUUUAUAUUUUUUUUUGUGAUGCUUUCUACUGAUGGUUGAGAACACCUGCCGAUUCUACGGUUCCGACAAUUUAACUCUAAGUUUAUUGGUUCGUAACAGUUUUUGUGAUUUCCGGUUUAACGAACCCAAUUGGAUCAUUUUCUUGAUUGGUUCACGGUUCAACCGGUUGAUCCAGUCUUCAUCUAGUUUCUGAAUGUAUUUAACUGAAUAACAAAAUCCGCUUUCUUUUAUUGAAUUGAAAUCCCCUGAAAGAUGGAUUCACUCCGCAUAAGCUGUUUUUUUAUUGUCAAAUGGUCAAUAACACAUGUUAUUUUUACAAAUGCUGAUGGUUUUGUUGCAUGCAACGGGACUUGCUUCCGAUAAAUGUGGGUGGUAAGAUAAUACGUUUGCUAACAUUUAUAGCCCGUCUUCCCUUUGUUAACACUAACAAAAAUAUUGUUAGAAGCCCAAAAAAGUCUUUCCCACCUUUAAUGAGUGAAUGGCCCUUCCCUUCUCUUCCCUUCCCUUCCCCAUCACGAUGUUGAAUUAUUCUGCCCAUCACGAUGUUGAAUUAUUCUGUAUGCAUAUAUAAUACUAAUACUCUCUCAUAGAGACUGUGUUUCUUGACAGGAGGAUUGGUGUGGUGAGAAAAUGUUAGGACGAAAAUCCCUGUAUAAAAUGCAUUGGUUGGAAUAUCAGUUUGUCUGUUGGCAACCGAAGCUGCUUCACAUGAAUGUAAUAUGUUUCCAACAAACGAUCUCGCGCUUGUUUGUCAAUGAACUCAUAAUUCAGUUGUAUCUUCAUGAGAACCAAAUAUGUAAAGAUGUGCAUACAUUACAUAGCUCUUUUUCCCUUCAGCAGGUAAUAUAGUUAGCCCAUCCUAUGGAAGGAAGGAUUGUAUUUUCGAUGUUGGGAUUGCAGCAUAAUCAAGUGCCACCUGUUGGAAUGAGUGUAUAUGGGUAAGUAAAUAAACAUAAGGUUUAAUUACCUCCAAUUGUUUCAAAUUCUGCAGACCAAACUCGCAUUUAAUUAC
This 2430-nucleotide long non-coding RNA is filed under the name Panax ginseng (ginseng). RNAcentral's name for it is "long non-coding RNA (PGIN_LNC001132)". Lineage: Eukaryota; Viridiplantae; Streptophyta; Magnoliopsida; Apiales; Araliaceae. The record is from RNAcentral.